Long non-coding RNA from Patella vulgata (common limpet), 1506 nucleotides. RefSeq lists it as uncharacterized. The transcript is spliced from 3 exons. Lineage: Eukaryota; Metazoa; Mollusca; Gastropoda; Patellidae. The record is from RefSeq and is a predicted model, not a curated record.
UGUAAGCCUUUUCUGUAAUUUUUACAGACUUGUUUCUGUAAAACGCCUACAGCGCAGGUCUGUUAUCCUGAUAACAGACACGAGUCUGUUAAUAUUUAAGAAAUACAGAAUUUCGUCCGUAAAUAUGACAUACGGGUGUUUAAAUUAAAGUGACGUCAUCGGUCUUCCUGGGCGCCAUUACUGCGAAGACCGUUAGUUAGCGGCAAAGAGGAAUCCCUCAACAUCGAGCACAAUAGUUGAACACUACAGUCAAUACCAAACAUUGCAGUUUUAGGCACAGCUUAUUGCAUCCUUGAGUGCCAUCCCUGUCAUCUAUAGAGUGGGCUACCCAGCCUUUCUCUGGGUGCAUUUUUGAAAUUAACCCAGAUAACGCACAGAAAUCAUGAAAAAGAGGAAGACUCGAGUGUGCCAAAAAGUAUAUAACUAAUCACUAAACUGUCAAACUUUAAAUGGAUGAAGUACAGUUACAACAAUAGCAACAAUAUACCGGUACUGUGAGAAGGUAUACGACGGUAUAGAUGCCACAUUUUGGUUCAAGGUGCUUUAAAUUCUGGGCCACGGUUUGGUUAACAUGGUACAGAUAUUUUAACUGUCCAUUUUCAUCCGAUGCAGAAUACUCCCCUGUAGUUCAUGUGACAAGAAGGAGAAAAGAUGGCUUUCGGCAAUGAAACAUGUGUCCCGCUGAAAGUACAUUCCCCUCCGGCGAACCACAAAUCACGGAUAUAGGAACAUUUUGAAUCAAAAACGUCAGAUGGAAAAGCAGUGGCUAGGGAGCUGGAAACACGUCCAAGAAGAAAUACUGUGAUAUGUAUCGUUGCAACCUAUGAUGCAAUAAUGUUCAUGCAUGCAAACUUUAGGGAUAGGCCUAUUGAGUUUAUGGUUAGUUUUUAUACACCAGCACAUAGUGUGUAUAAAAUAGGUGAUAAGGGACCGAGCCACAACCCUUUUAUGAGUGAUACUUUGUAAAUGAGACUUUAAACGCACUGCAAGAAAUCUUUUUAAUGAAUCUUCUUAAUUAAACUUGAUCUUCUUAUUGUACUUUUGAUAAGAUGUCCGUUUACUUUAAUGGAAAAAUCUUUUGGUCAUUUAAUUUGUCCAUCAACAAUUUGGUACAUUUGUAAAAUUAUCCUCAGUUCAUUUUGUCUCUAAAUAUGCGGCCGUGUUGCAUAAACAUUAAAAUUGUGUAACUCUCAUCUACACAUUUCAUUUUGGGACUGGUUCAUUAACUUUGUCAGUAGUCCAGUUCCAUCUAAAUUUUUAUCUAUGAGACUGAAUCAAUUUAUGCCAUUCUCACUAAGGAAUGUACAUGCUUAGGCAGAGUUAUUGUGCAAAAUUUAAUGAUAUACAUUUUCAAACAGAGAUUAAGCUAAUCAUUGAAACAAGCUGUACAUUUAAGGUGGAAUAAUAGGAAUUCUGCAUUGAUGCUGUUCUUGUUUUAAAGUCAUGAUACUUUUGGGGUUCAAUAAUUGUUAGAUUUUAAAUUGUUCAUUUAAACAUUUAGAAUGC